Molecule: long non-coding RNA, 219 nt
Organism: Manihot esculenta (cassava)
Lineage: Eukaryota; Viridiplantae; Streptophyta; Magnoliopsida; Malpighiales; Euphorbiaceae
Exons: 2
Source: RefSeq, a predicted model, not a curated record
GAGGAACCGAGGACCCCAGCAGUGAGUUAGCUGCAUCAGUCUUUGGCAGAGCUAGCCAAGAGGAUUGCAGGUACGGGCUAGACUGAGAAGUCAAAAAGAGUAAAGUCACGUGUUUGUAAUAGAUAGAAAGUGGACAUGAUAAAUUGUAAGAUGAUGUAAAGUUUGAAUAGUCAUGUUAUGUGUAAUAAUAUUGAGGAAUAGAAGUUGUGCUUGACCCUA